UAUGGCUUAACCAUAGAACUGCUUGGGAAACUGAUAAUCUAGAGUGAGGGAGAGGCAGAUGGAAUUGGUGGUGUAGGGGUAAAAUCCGUAGAGAUCACCAGGAAUACCCAUUGCGAAGGCGAUCUGCUGGAACUCAACUGACGCUAAUGCGUGAAAGCGUGGGGAGCAAACAGGAUUAGAUACCCUGGUAGUCCACGCCCUAAACGAUGUAUACUAGUUGUUGCUAAGCUAGUCUUGGCAGUAAUGCACCUAACGGAUUAAGUAUACCGCCUGGGGAGUACGGUCGCAAGAUUAAAACUCAAAGGAAUAGACGGGGACCCGCACAAGCGGUGGAGCAUGUGGUUUAAUUCGAAGAUACGCGAAGAACCUUACCCGGACUUGAUAUCUAACAAAUCAUCUAGAGAUAGAAGAGUGUCUGCUUGCAGAAAUGUUAAGACAGGUGCUGCACGGCUGUCGUCAGCUCGUGUCGUGAGAUGUUGGGUUAAGUCCCGCAACGAGCGCAACCCACGUCAUUAGUUGC
This 520-nucleotide ribosomal RNA is filed under the name uncultured Campylobacter sp. RNAcentral's name for it is "bacterial SSU rRNA". It matches the Rfam family "Bacterial small subunit ribosomal RNA", at positions 603 to 1118 of the family's 1533-position model. Lineage: Bacteria; Pseudomonadati; Campylobacterota; Epsilonproteobacteria; Campylobacterales; Campylobacteraceae. The record is from RNAcentral.